RNAcentral lists this ribosomal RNA (433 nucleotides) under uncultured bacterium. Its description in RNAcentral is "partial 16S ribosomal RNA". It matches the Rfam family "Bacterial small subunit ribosomal RNA", at positions 29 to 507 of the family's 1533-position model. The record is from RNAcentral.
AACGAACGCUGGCGGCAUGCCUAACACAUGCAAGUCGAACGAGACCUUCGGGUCUUGUGGCGCACGGGUGCGUAACGCGUGGGAACCUGCCCUUAGGUUCGGAAUAACUCCCCGAAAGGGGUGCUAAUACCGGAUAAUGUCUUCGGACCAAAGAUUUAUCGCCUUUGGAUGGGCCCGCGUUGGAUUAGCUAGUUGGUAGGGUAAAAGCCUACCAAGGCGACGAUCCAUAGCUGGUCUGAGAGGAUGAUCAGCCACACUGAGAGUGGGACACGGCCCAGACUCCUACGGGAGGCAGCAGUGGGGAAUAUUGGACAAUGGGCGAAGGCCUGAUCCAGCAAUGCCGCGUGAGUGAUGAAGGCCUUAGGGUUGUAAAGCUCUUUUACCCGGGAUGAUAAUGACAGUACCGGGAGAAUAAGCUCCGGCUAACUCCGUG